CCUACGGGAGGCAGCAGUGGGGAAUAUUGUGCAAUGGGCGCACGCCUGACCCAGCAACGCCGCGUGAAGGAAGAAGGCUUUCGGGUUGUAACCUUCUUUUCUCAGGGACGAAGAAAGUUACGGUACCUGAGGAAUAAGCCACGGCUAACUACGUGCCAGCAGCCGCGGUAAUACGUAGGUGGCAAGCGUUAUCCGGAUUUAUUGGGGGUAAAGGGCGUGUAGGCGGGAGGGCAAGUCAGAUGUGAAAACUCAGGGCUCAACCCUGAGCCUGCAUUUGAACCUGUGUAUCUUGAGUGCUGGAGAGGCAAGUGGAAGUCCGGGUGUAGAGGUGAAAUGCGGAGAUAUACGGAGGAACAACAGUGGCGAAGGCGGAUUGCUGGACAGUAACUGACGCUGAGGAGCGAAAGCGUGGGGAGCAAACAGGAUUAGAUACCCGAGUAGUC
This 443-nucleotide ribosomal RNA is filed under the name uncultured bacterium. RNAcentral's name for it is "partial 16S ribosomal RNA". It matches the Rfam family "Bacterial small subunit ribosomal RNA", at positions 338 to 795 of the family's 1533-position model. The record is from RNAcentral.